AACGAACGCUGGCGGCAGGCUUAACACAUGCAAGUCGAACGCCCCGCAAGGGGAGUGGCAGACGGGUGAGUAACGCGUGGGAAUCUACCGUACCCUACGGAACAACAGUUGGAAACGACUGCUAAUACCGUAUACGCCCUACGGGGAAAGAUUUAUCGGGGUAUGAUGAGCCCGCGUUGGAUUAGCUAGUUGGUGGGGUAAAGGCCUACCAAGGCGAUGAACCAUAGCUGGUCUGAGAGGAUGAUCAGCCACAUUGGGACUGAGACACGGCCCAAACUCCUACGGGAGGCAGCAGUGGGGAAUAUUGGACAAUGGGCGCAAGCCUGAUCCAGCCAUGCCGCGUGAGUGAUGAAGGUCUUAGGAUUGUAAAGCUCUUUCACCGAUGAAGAUAAUGACGGUAGUCGGAGAAGAAGCCCCGGCUAACUUCGUGCCAGCUGCCGCAGUAA
Molecule: ribosomal RNA, 446 nt
Filed under: uncultured bacterium
Lineage: Bacteria
Description: partial 16S ribosomal RNA
Rfam family: Bacterial small subunit ribosomal RNA
Source: RNAcentral